Misgurnus anguillicaudatus (oriental weatherfish) is the source of this 372-nucleotide non-coding RNA. The record is from the annotation of a RefSeq genome assembly. NCBI's taxonomy places the organism in Eukaryota, Metazoa, Chordata, Actinopteri, Cypriniformes, Cobitidae.
AUGAAUCUCUUCAUCACCUUCAUCUGGAUUCUUGGAGGUUUUAUUCAAGAAUCCAGAGGAGUUACUGUAACUCAGAGUAAAACUCAAUCUGUUUUUGUGGGACAAAUCGUCACUAUAAAGUGUACAACUGAUACUGGAAUAGAUACCAAUGGUUUAUUUUGGUAUCAGCAGAAACCUGGAGAAACUCCUAAACACAUCAUUUAUGGUAUAAGUAGUCGUCAUGGUGACACUUCAGGUCGAUUCAGUGGCACUGGAACAUGGAGUGGUACAGAUUUUACUCUGAGCAUCAGUGGAGUUCAGACUGAAGAUGAAGGAGAUUAUUACUGUAUGAGUAUACACACCAUCAGUGGUAGCUAUGUGUUCACACAGUGA